Molecule: ribosomal RNA, 1188 nt
Filed under: marine metagenome
Description: bacterial LSU rRNA
Rfam family: Bacterial large subunit ribosomal RNA
Source: RNAcentral
GCUUAGAAGCAGCCAUCCUUUAAAGAUAGCGUAACAGCUCACUGGUCUAAAUAAGCUGUCUUGCGGCGAAGAUGUAACGGGGCUCAAGCCAUGAGCCGAAGCUGAGGAUGCACAUAGUGCAUGGUAGCGGAGCGUAGUGUGACAUAGUUCCAUGCGUCUUUAGCCUUCUUCGGAAGGCGUUGGACGCAAGGAGCUUUCAGUGAAGCGGGCGCGUGAGCGAUCCCGUGGAGAGAUCACUAGUGAGAAUGAUGACAUGAGUAGCGACAAACAGGGUGAGAGACCCUGUCGCCGAAAGUCCAAGGGUUCCUGCUUAAAGCUAAUCUGAGCAGGGUAAGCCGACCCCUAAGUCGAGGCCGAAAGGCGUAGACGAUGGGAACCAGGUUAAUAUUCCUGGGCCAGGAGGAUUGUGACGGAUCUCGAAGGUAGUUCAUCCUUAUCGGAUUGAAUGGGCUGCUUAGAGGUUCCUGGAAAUAGCACCUCCAUAAGAUCGUACCCUAAACCGACACAGGUGGACUGGUAGAGAAUACCAAGGCGCUUGAGAGAACUAUGUUGAAGGAACUCGGCAAAAUACCUCCGUAAGUUCGCGAGAAGGAGGCCCGGUUUCUAGGCAACUGGAAGCUGGGGGCACAAACAAGGGGGUGGCGACUGUUUACUAAAAACACAGGGCUCUGCGAAGUCGCAAGACGACGUAUAGGGUCUGACGCCUGCCCGGUGCCUGAAGGUUAAAAGGAGGGGUGAGAGCUCUGAAUUGAAGCCCAGGUAAACGGCGGCCGUAACUAUAACGGUCCUAAGGUAGCGAAAUUCCUUGUCGGGUAAGUUCCGACCUGCACGAAUGGCGUAACGACUUCCCCGCUGUCUCCAACGUAGACUCAGCGAAAUUGAAUUGCCUGUCAAGAUGCAGGCUUCCCGCGGUUAGACGGAAAGACCCCGUGCACCUUUACUACAGCUUCACAUUGGCAUUAGGCCGAGCAUGUGCAGGAUAGGUGGUGGGCUUUGAAGCGUGAACGCCAGUUUGCGUGGAGCCUCCCUUGAGAUACCACCCUUGCUCUGCUUGAUGUCUAACCGCGGUCCAUUAUCUGGAUCCGGGACCCUGUGUGGCGGGUAGUUUGACUGGGGCGGUCGCCUCCUAAAGCGUAACGGAGGCGCGCGAAGGUUGGCUCAGAGCGGUCGGAAAUCGCUCGUUGAGUG